UGGUGUCUCCUGUUCUCAUUGUAAUGGUAUGAUCCUGCAGAGAACGACUGAUGGAGUGAGCUUUGUGCCUACCCUGGCUGUACUGCUGCAGAGGGGCACAAUGAUAUUCAUGGGAAACAGUCCGUGUCCAGAACUUGGCCAGAAAGAUCUAUUCAGGCCCCGAAAUGUCGGUGUAUUCCCACAGGAAGCAGAGGAGCCUCCAGAGCAACAGGGAAAUUGCUAAUCAUACUUCGUCUAAGUGAAGUCUGGCUGUAAAUUACGACUAAGCACCAUGAUGGGAGCCAUGUGUAUGAAAUACAAAAGAAAUGUGUUUCCCAUGAAGACAACAGAGUUAGCGUGUGGAAAAUGAAAGAGUUCUGGUGUUCAAGGAUUUGUGUCAGGAAUAGAGCACAGGGUACCUGCGUCUGGGGGCCUCAGAUUGCUGAAGGAGUAGGGGCAGGCAGCAGAUGGUCAUCCUACUAAAGAAUAAGAUUUCUCUUAUGGAUCUUUGGACUCCAUUUAGGAAUUACUCCCAUCUAUUAAGGAGAAGGUGACACCUACAAAUGCUGGUUUGUUUACACUGUGGGACUGUAUUCAUGAUUACACCAAUGGGAAUAUGCAAAUAAUCUUCUGAAGUCAUGACUAAAAAGAAGUUACUUUAAUGGUAGAGCACCAUAAAUGAGAGAAGGACAAUUUGCCAGUAGAACAGCCAGAAAAAGCCGCAGCAAAAGCAGUAAGAAAUCAUGAGAAACGGUAUCUUCGGUCAAGAUGUGAAAGGAGAUGGUCUACUGAUGAAGAAAAAAUACAGAAAUGUUGUCUUACAUCCUGAGGGCUGCAGCAGUAACACAUUGCAGGAGUCUGUCAGCAUGCAGCUACUACCAUCUAGCUAAAUCCUUUCAACUAGGAACAUCGUCUUCAAAAUAUUUCCUCCUUUCCCAACACAGUCAAGUGUGAAAGAGCAGACAGAGAGCCAUGUUAUUAAAAAUCACAGGAAGUCCUGAUUGAAUGAAUGUUUAAGGAACAGGCAAGUGUGUAUUAAAAUGUUUUUUUUUUCCAUUCAUCCUUUCAUUUGGCUUUGUUUCAUUUAUUUCUACUUCCUGUUUCCUGUAGUCUAAUUUGGAAAUCUCUGAAGCAUCAUUAAAAUACAAUUGUCACAGCUCUGCUCAGGUCCCAUAUUGUCAUUAGCUCUGCAAUUAAGAUUAAUAUUAAUUUUUAAAAAUACCUUUGAAGAUACUGGUUUUAUUUGGGUUGUUUGGUAUGUGGAUGAGAGAACUUUUGCAGUAUGGAACACAGAAUGAGUAGGAACCUUAUAGGCAAAAAUGACAGUAGACUGUGACACAAAUCAGUCAGCCUCUGACUUUCUCUGCUGUCACAGCUGGACAGAGGUCUGUGAGUCUCUAAAUUGGGUUCCUACAUGUCUUCAUGCAAU
Molecule: non-coding RNA, 1408 nt
Organism: Taeniopygia guttata (zebra finch)
Lineage: Eukaryota; Metazoa; Chordata; Aves; Passeriformes; Estrildidae
Source: RefSeq, a predicted model, not a curated record